This 254-nucleotide ribosomal RNA is filed under the name uncultured bacterium. RNAcentral describes it as "partial 16S ribosomal RNA". It matches the Rfam family "Bacterial small subunit ribosomal RNA", at positions 524 to 776 of the family's 1533-position model. The record is from RNAcentral.
UACGGAGGGUGCGAGCGUUGUCCGGAAUCACUGGGCGUAAAGGGCGCGUAGGUGGCCCGCGCAAGCGUGCGGUGAAAGCCCGGGGCUCAACCCCGGGUCGGCCGUGCGGACUGCGGGGCUGGAGCACUGUAGGGGCGGGUGGAAUUCCGGGUGUAGCGGUGGAAUGCGUAGAGAUCCGGAAGAACACCGGUGGCGAAGGCGGCCCGCUGGGCAGUAGCUGACACUGAGGCGCGACAGCGUGGGGAGCAAACAGG